GGGUUGUGAGGUUAAGCGACUAAGCGUACACGGUGGAUGCCCUGGCAGUCAGAGGCGAUGAAGGACGUGCUAAUCUGCGAUAAGCGUCGGUAAGGUGAUAUGAACCGUUAUAACCGGCGAUUUCCGAAUGGGGAAACCCAGUGUGAUUCGUCACACUAUCAUUAACUGAAUCCAUAGGUUAAUGAGGCGAACCGGGGGAACUGAAACAUCUAAGUACCCCGAGGAAAAGAAAUCAACCGAGAUUCCCCCAGUAGCGGCGAGCGAACGGGGAGCAGCCCAGAGCCUGAAUCAGUGUGUGUGUUAGUGGAAGCGUCUGGAAAGGCGCGCGAUACAGGGUGACAGCCCCGUACACAAAAAUGCACAUACUGUGAGCUCGAUGAGUAGGGCGGGACACGUGGUAUCCUGUCUGAAUAUGGGGGGACCAUCCUCCAAGGCUAAAUACUCCUGACUGACCGAUAGUGAACCAGUACCGUGAGGGAAAGGCGAAAAGAACCCCGGCGAGGGGAGUGAAAAAGAACCUGAAACCGUGUACGUACAAGCAGUGGGAGCACAGAGCAAUCUGUGUGACUGCGUACCUUUUGUAUAAUGGGUCAGCGACUUAUAUUCUGUAGCAAGGUUAACCGAAUAGGGGAGCCGAAGGGAAACCGAGUCUUAACUGGGCGUUAAGUUGCAGGGUAUAGACCCGAAACCCGGUGAUCUAGCCAUGGGCAGGUUGAAGGUUGGGUAACACUAACUGGAGGACCGAACCGACUAAUGUUGAAAAAUUAGCGGAUGACUUGUGGCUGGGGGUGAAAGGCCAAUCAAACCGGGAGAUAGCUGGUUCUCCCCGAAAGCUAUUUAGGUAGCGCCUCGUGAAUUCAUCUCCGGGGGUAGAGCACUGUUUCGGCAAGGGGGUCAUCCCGACUUACCAACCCGAUGCAAACUGCGAAUACCGGAGAAUGUUAUCACGGGAGACACACGGCGGGUGCUAACGUCCGUCGUGAAGAGGGAAACAACCCAGACCGCCAGCUAAGGUCCCAAAGUCAUGGUUAAGUGGGAAACGAUGUGGGAAGGCCCAGACAGCCAGGAUGUUGGCUUAGAAGCAGCCAUCAUUUAAAGAAAGCGUAAUAGCUCACUGGUCGAGUCGGCCUGCGCGGAAGAUGUAACGGGGCUAAACCAUGCACCGAAGCUGCGGCAGCGACGCUUAUGCGUUGUUGGGUAGGGGAGCGUUCUGUAAGCCUGNNNNNNNNNNNNNNNNNNNNNNNNNNNNNNNNNNNNNNNNNNNNNNNNNNNNNNNNNNNNNNNNNNNNNNNNNNNNNNNNNNNNNNNNNNNNNNNNNNNNAUGCUGGAGGUAUCAGAAGUGCGAAUGCUGACAUAAGUAACGAUAAAGCGGGUGAAAAGCCCGCUCGCCGGAAGACCAAGGGUUCCUGUCCAACGUUAAUCGGGGCAGGGUGAGUCGACCCCUAAGGCGAGGCCGAAAGGCGUAGUCGAUGGGAAACAGGUUAAUAUUCCUGUACUUGGUGUUACUGCGAAGGGGGGACGGAGAAGGCUAUGUUGGCCGGGCGACGGUUGUCCCGGUUUAAGCGUGUAGGCUGGUUUUCCAGGCAAAUCCGGAAAAUCAAGGCUGAGGCGUGAUGACGAGGCACUACGGUGCUGAAGCAACAAAUGCCCUGCUUCCAGGAAAAGCCUCUAAGCAUCAGGUAACAUCAAAUCGUACCCCAAACCGACACAGGUGGUCAGGUAGAGAAUACCAAGGCGCUUGAGAGAACUCGGGUGAAGGAACUAGGCAAAAUGGUGCCGUAACUUCGGGAGAAGGCACGCUGAUAUGUAGGUGAAGUCCCUCGCGGAUGGAGCUGAAAUCAGUCGAAGAUACCAGCUGGCUGCAACUGUUUAUUAAAAACACAGCACUGUGCAAACACGAAAGUGGACGUAUACGGUGUGACGCCUGCCCGGUGCCGGAAGGUUAAUUGAUGGGGUCAGCGCAAGCGAAGCUCUUGAUCGAAGCCCCGGUAAACGGCGGCCGUAACUAUAACGGUCCUAAGGUAGCGAAAUUCCUUGUCGGGUAAGUUCCGACCUGCACGAAUGGCGUAAUGAUGGCCAGGCUGUCUCCACCCGAGACUCAGUGAAAUUGAACUCGCUGUGAAGAUGCAGUGUACCCGCGGCAAGACGGAAAGACCCCGUGAACCUUUACUAUAGCUUGACACUGAACAUUGAGCCUUGAUGUGUAGGAUAGGUGGGAGGCUUUGAAGUGUGGACGCCAGUCUGCAUGGAGCCGACCUUGAAAUACCACCCUUUAAUGUUUGAUGUUCUAACGUUGACCCGUAAUCCGGGUUGCGGACAGUGUCUGGUGGGUAGUUUGACUGGGGCGGUCUCCUCCUAAAGAGUAACGGAGGAGCACGAAGGUUGGCUAAUCCUGGUCGGACAUCAGGAGGUUAGUGCAAUGGCAUAAGCCAGCUUGACUGCGAGCGUGACGGCGCGAGCAGGUGCGAAAGCAGGUCAUAGUGAUCCGGUGGUUCUGAAUGGAAGGGCCAUCGCUCAACGGAUAAAAGGUACUCCGGGGAUAACAGGCUGAUACCGCCCAAGAGUUCAUAUCGACGGCGGUGUUUGGCACCUCGAUGUCGGCUCAUCACAUCCUGGGGCUGAAGUAGGUCCCAAGGGUAUGGCUGUUCGCCAUUUAAAGUGGUACGCGAGCUGGGUUUAGAACGUCGUGAGACAGUUCGGUCCCUAUCUGCCGUGGGCGCUGGAGAACUGAGGGGGGCUGCUCCUAGUACGAGAGGACCGGAGUGGACGCAUCACUGGUGUUCGGGUUGUCAUGCCAAUGGCACUGCCCGGUAGCUAAAUGCGGAAGAGAUAAGUGCUGAAAGCAUCUAAGCACGAAACUUGCCCCGAGAUGAGUUCUCCCUGACUCCUUGAGAGUCCUGAAGGAACGUUGAAGACGACGACGUUGAUAGGCCGGGUGUGUAAGCGCAGCGAUGCGUUGAGCUAACCGGUACUAAUGAACCGUGAGGCUUAACCUUACAACGCCGAAGGUGUUU
Molecule: ribosomal RNA, 3014 nt
Filed under: Escherichia coli
Lineage: Bacteria; Pseudomonadati; Pseudomonadota; Gammaproteobacteria; Enterobacterales; Enterobacteriaceae
Description: 23S ribosomal RNA
Rfam family: Bacterial large subunit ribosomal RNA
Source: RNAcentral